UAGGGAAUCUUCGGCAAUGGGGGGAACCCUGACCGAGCAACGCCGCGUGAGUGAAGAAGGUUUUCGGAUCGUAAAGCUCUGUUGUUAAGGAAGAACGAGUGUGAGAAUGGAAAGUUCAUACUGUGACGGUACUUAACCAGAAAGGGACGGCUAACUACGUGCCAGCAGCCGCGGUAAUACGUAGGUGGCAAGCGUUGUCCGGAUUUAUUGGGCGUAAAGCGAGCGCAGGCGGUCAAUUAAGUCUGAUGUGAAAGCCCCCGGCUCAACCGGGGAGGGUCAUUGGAAACUGGUUGACUUGAGUGCAGAAGAGGAGAGUGGAAUUCCAUGUGUAGCGGUGAAAUGCGUAGAUAUAUAGAGGAACACCAGUGGCGAAGGCGACUCGCUGGUCUGUAACUGACGCUGAGGCUCGAAAGCGUGAGUAGCAAACAGG
This 430-nucleotide ribosomal RNA is filed under the name Bacteroidota bacterium. RNAcentral's name for it is "Bacteroidetes bacterium partial 16S ribosomal RNA". It matches the Rfam family "Bacterial small subunit ribosomal RNA", at positions 355 to 776 of the family's 1533-position model. Lineage: Bacteria; Pseudomonadati; Bacteroidota. The record is from RNAcentral.